GGUCUCAUUCUUCCAUUGUUUCCGGUAGGUUUUUGUUUAUGGUGCGUUAGAAAAAUGGUUGCGUGAGGGUGCUGUGUUUUGGCCUUACUCUGUUGCACUUAUUGGGCUGAUGAGGGAGGGGAAUGGGAAUUUGGCGGUGGCGUUGAGGCCUCGAAGCAACAGGGGCUUUGUGAAGGGCAAAAUGGCGAUGGCGGCUAGUGCCAACGGGCCUCUCUGUGAUGAGAAACUUCACAGACCUGUACUGAGCUCCGUGAGGAUAAGAAACUCUGACGAGACGGGCCCUGUACAGCAGUUUUAGCUCCGGAAAAGAAAGCGUUUGCGAGAUACGCUAGUGCUGACUUAACGUCCUCUUGUCUGCAGGGUUCAGGCUCACGUCGAAUGCUGAAGGGUUGUAAAGGGCUCUCGUUAGAAUGUGGUUUAGUUCAAAAGACUACAGGUUGGAGAAUGGGACAAGGCUUAUCCCUGUGUAGGUCAAACAUUGCAGUGAUGCCCCAGGUGGGUGUAUUAUGCUUUAUGCAAUUAUGGACAGGGACACCGUGUCCGGAUGGGACUUGUUCAUUCAGAUUGCACUGGCCACUUCAUGAUGAAUGUAAAAUGACAAGCAUAUGCCUGAACUCAAGUGAUGUCAUCUUACUACUGAGAAGUGGGCCAAGAGUACUCAAGGGUCUUUUUAUUUGCAUUCUUCUGUAUUGAAGGAUAGUCAGUUUGCAAUGUUGUGCCAGUUUCUGGUGUACUGUAUGUUUCAGCCAUACAUAACUCAGGGGUCUUUAAUGGCUGUUCUUAACAUGUAAUGCCUCCCUUUUUUCCCUUUUCUGUCUCCAGCAUCUCAUCACCAAUCACAAGGAAUUCAGCUGCCUCCCAGGGUGAAUACAGGUAAUUUUUCAAGUUAGAGGUUGGGGGUGGUCUCUCUGGUGUUCCCCACAACCAGGAGAGCAAAUGGUCAGUGGAGCAGUGUUGCUUUUUUGCUCCUUCCAGCUUGUUCCUCUUGGAAUGAUUUUCCUGGGGAGGGAGACAGCAACCCAGCAAGCAGCAGUUGGUUCUUGUGAGGGUGUGCUCUUCCCUCACCACAUGUCACUGUCAGAUGAUUUGAAUUGAUAAUGCUGAUCCUCUGUGAGGUACGACAGUUAUAGCAUGUUAGAGUUCUGAUGGCAGUUUCUGUUUAAUGAAAAAGUUUUACUCUUAUAGUAUUUUUGAAAUAAUCAUUUGCUCCCUUUUUACAGGUUGUCCUGAUGGUGAUAUAUUCAUCUAUCUUAACAGUAAGUUGCUUCCCCAAUAUGGCAAAUCAGCAUAUGUGAAUCAAACAGCUUUACCAUUGGUGGGGUUUUUGGUUGUUGCUAAACCCCUUUCUGGUUUCACUGGCUUUUACUGAUGUUACUUGAUUGCUUAUAUUUUAUAUUAUCUUUCUUGAUUUUCUAGAUGCCUAUUGAUCUGCUCUGGGUAAAAUUCCUGGAAAGAGUUGAGAGUAAGUGGUGAGUACUUGUAACCUUGCUGGUUGUAGCUUGUCAGUGCCAGUGAGGAGAGCAAACAUCCUGUCUUACCCCCUGUCCCAGCCCCAGAGCCAGUAAUGGUGAACCCACUGGGGCUGACUGGGAGAGAGGAUGAAAACUUGUUCCAUAUGGAACAGUCUGAGGUACACCAAAUAUAUGUGGAUAGCGUUUGCUUAGCUUUUCUUGGUUUAUACAGUAAUCACAGCUAGAAUAGUUUUGACUGUUGCAGAUACUUUGCUGAUUACAUGAUUUUCUCGUGCAGAAUCAGCUAGUUCCUGCAUACUUCUUUCUGGAAAGCCUCCAGAGCUGAAAGGUUAGUUGAUUAAUGUCUCUGGCUUAUGCCACCAAGUAGGCAGUUUCUAUGAUGAAUCAAACUAGCUCACUAUGAUUUAAACAAUGAAAAGAUAUGAACACCUGAGAAACUGGAGAAGAUAGCAGUGGGGUAUUGUGUUGAAGGAACUUUUGUCACUCAUAGCUUUAUCCUUCACUAGGUACCGUUGCCAGUAACCUGCUUGUUUGCUCAAAGGUGAGUGGUUUCCAUAUACAUUGGUGCAUGCAGCAUACUAAGUAGAAAAGCCUUUUUAGGCAUCUAUAUGUGAUGACUUACAUGGAAUCUCGUUCGGCUGAUGAUUUGCUGUUGAGACUCGGAAAUCUGAUUUUCUAGAACAGUGGUUUAGGUGGGAACAACUUUUAUUGCAAGAGAUAACCAUCACUAAUUUAGUCUUGUCCUGUUUUAGUUCCAGCACCUUGUUUGGAGCCUGAGAAUGAUUUGAGGUAAGUAUAUUCAAGAGUUACCAGUUUUUGUGUGGCACUUUGGAUAGUUGUGCAGACACUACUGGCAUAAUCCAGAAUCUGUCUUUAGCCAUUUAAGAACCAUUUGACAAAUUCUCACUCACCUGUGAUGAGUUCGAUACCGCCCCAGUCUGAUUACUAUGACUGAAAGGUACUUUCUGAGCUGUGAGUUUGCCUUGAAGUGAAAGGUAACAGUGGGACAUUACCUAAGUAGGUUUUCUAGGCAGUAGGAAGCCUUUUGGACUAGCUAUUGGUUUUUAUAAAAUGUUUGGUGUUAAGACUUAGUCUAUAUAGAUAUGCCUUUUCUCUAAGCAACAGGGAUUCCUGGAGAUGGUUGAGAAACUUAGUUCCCAAUUGUUCUUUUGCAGGGGAAAGGUAAAAGCCAUAUUUCUGCUCAACUCCAGUCUGAAGUUAAGAGGUAAAGUUAACUUGAAUGCAACAUGGGUCAAGUUAAAAUUUCCCAGUGAAGAAACAUUCAUAUGUCUUACCUCCUGUUCUGGUCCCAGAGCCUGUAAAGGUGAACCCACUGGGACUGGCUGGGGGAAAAGAGGAAGGCUUGUUCCAGAAGGAACUGUCUGAGGGAUCAUUAAGAAUUUCUAAACAUGGGAAUGGUGGAAAUAAAUGACUGAUGGAAAAAUCAAUUGUACUUUUUUUUCCAGGUCUGAAAAAAAGAAUAAAGCACAUAUAAUAGUAGGUAUCUGUUCAUGUACUUGUGUUAAUAGGCUAUGAUAAAUGGAAAAAUACUUGGAAGCAAUCCUUUUAAUGAUAACUGGUUUAAAGGAUAUCCCAUUGUAAGCCUGUCUAGUAAGAAGAUUCACUUUUUCUCUACAGGAGUUGACUCUUGGAGGACGUCAAAAUUUGGAAUUGUCAAGCCAUUAUAUAACGUAGCUGUUGAAAUUAGCAUGCAAUCAUUUCAGCCUUUGUAAAUAAAAGUUUUUUUCUUUUAAACCUUCACUGAUUUCCUGUGUUUGAGUGGGCCUAGCUGAACAGAAGGAAAUAAUCCUAGAGUUUUUUACUGACUGCCCUGUUUACAGUCUGGCAGUUUGCCUAAUGCUGGAUUAUCUGGCCCUGGGAAGCAUCACUCAAGGAACCUUCUUAGACCUUCAAGGAGUUUUCUUUAUAUUUGGCUGAGGAAUUCUGCAUGACAAAUUUCCUGGGUUUGAGUGAUCCAUUUUAACCAUACCUUAAAAUUUUAGUAGACUUGGAUAAAGGCACUAGGAGCUGACGAGGCAUGGCAUUUAGGAACAGAAGAUUGAUUGUCAGGUCUUGGUAUUUCAUCACCCC
This is a long non-coding RNA of Camelus dromedarius (Arabian camel), 3563 nucleotides long. NCBI's taxonomy places the organism in Eukaryota, Metazoa, Chordata, Mammalia, Artiodactyla, Camelidae. The record is from Ensembl.